UGUACCGUGGGCUGUGGUCCCUCCGUCCGAGGCUGGCACUGCUGGCUCUCGGGGCUUCCUCUGGUUGGCAGACGCAGAGGUUGUUACCCCAUCAGAGGCAGGGUGAGCGCCUGUGUGCAUCACCACGGCAUUCACACAGUGCCUGCAUCACACCCCACGGCCUGGUGCCCCCAACCCAACAGGAAGGGACCUGCUAAGAAACGCUGGCCGAAAAGACACAAAGUACAACCAACAGUUGUCUGAGUCUGCUGGGACCACCAUAACCAAGGUGGUUGAAUUAAUCAGUGAAGACCCUGGCGAUACGGAGGGCUAUUCUUCAUAAAUAAUAAAGGCACCCUCUCCUCUGUUCAGAAGGGAGAAUGAUUUCAAGUUCUCCUGCACAAGAGUAUGGUGCAACCUCACAAGCAGUUCCUGGAAAAUGGACCAAGAGACUCUUCCAAAGAAAGAGGACUUCUCAUGUUAAGACAUUCCCAGGGUCAACAUGAUUGUGAAAGGGAAAAGUCCAGAUCUACUCAGGACACUGAGGCAGCCGCUACAAUGCUUCUACAGACGCUCCUGAAAGAGGGCUUCCAGAACUGCUUCAGAAAGAGGCAAGAGUGGUGGGAGGAGGUUUAUUGUGAGGGGAGUUAAUGGCAGUGUGUCUUUUACUAUAAUAAAACUUUUUAAAUGAAGCACCAAAAGAAAAAAAAGAAAGAAAGAAAAGGAGAAAAGACUUCUCCAGGCUCUUGAAGGCCAUGGCCUAAAGCCGUCCUUGAUGGUUAUCAUCCCGCAGGACGCUCCACAGUCCUCAGCCUGCGGCAGGAGAAGCAAAUGAGAAGAAGCCAAGCACAGGGGCCUGCGGGCACCUCUGAGCGCUGCUUUGGGCUUAGGAACCUGCUUUAUUUCAUGCUAUGCACAUGUGUUACCUAUUCAGACAUCAAUAAAAUAUACUGAAAGUCAUAA
Long non-coding RNA from Chinchilla lanigera (long-tailed chinchilla), 942 nucleotides. RefSeq lists it as uncharacterized. The transcript is spliced from 4 exons. The record is from RefSeq and is a predicted model, not a curated record. NCBI's taxonomy places the organism in Eukaryota, Metazoa, Chordata, Mammalia, Rodentia, Chinchillidae.